AAACUUAAAGGAAUUGACGGGGACCCGCACAAGCGGUGGAUGAUGUGGUUUAAUUCGAUGCAACGCGAAAAACCUUACCCACCUUUGACAUGUAUGGAAGAUCGCAGAGACGCGAUUGUGCUCGAAAGAGAGCCAUAACACAGGUGCUGCAUGGCUGUCGUCAGCUCGUGUCGUGAGAUGUUGGGUUAAGUCCCGCAACGAGCGCAACCCUUGUCAUUAGUUGCUACAUUUAGUUGGGCACUCUAAUGAGACUGCCGGUGACAAACCGGAGGAAGGUGGGGAUGACGUCAAGUCCUCAUGGCCCUUAUAGGUGGGGCUACACACGUCAUACAAUGGCUGGUACAAAGGGUUGCCAACCCGCGAGGGGGAGCCAAUCCCAUAAAGCCAGUCGUAGUCCGGAUCGCAGUCUGCAACUCGACUGCGUGAAGUCGGAAUCGCUAGUAAUCGUGGAUCAGAAUGUCACGGUGAAUACGUUCCCGGGUCUUGUACACACCGCCCGUCACACCAUGGGAGCGGGUUCUGCCAGAAGUAGGUAGCCUAACCGUAAGGAGGGCGCUUACCACGGCAGGGUUCGUGACUGGGGUGAAGUCGUAACAAGGUAGCCGUAUCGGAAGGUGCGGCUGGAUCACCUCCUUUCUG
RNAcentral lists this ribosomal RNA (639 nucleotides) under uncultured Variovorax sp. Its description in RNAcentral is "bacterial SSU rRNA". It matches the Rfam family "Bacterial small subunit ribosomal RNA", at positions 897 to 1533 of the family's 1533-position model. Lineage: Bacteria; Pseudomonadati; Pseudomonadota; Betaproteobacteria; Burkholderiales; Comamonadaceae. The record is from RNAcentral.